Camellia sinensis is the source of this 1088-nucleotide non-coding RNA. NCBI's taxonomy places the organism in Eukaryota, Viridiplantae, Streptophyta, Magnoliopsida, Ericales, Theaceae. The record is from RefSeq and is a predicted model, not a curated record.
UGUCCUAAGAAACAUGGUAGACUUGUUGAUUGACAAAGAAUUGGAACAUUGAUCCUAAACUUUAAACUCGACGCUCUGAUAGCUGAAAAUUCAACCACAUCCCUUUCUGUUAGUAUAUCAUAAAUUUCAAGCAUUUGCGUACUUCUUUUAGUUUAUCAAUAAUGCACAUGACAUGACCACAAAAUUUUGUUGGAGGUCUUUAUCCAUUUUAAAAUUUGAACUACUAAGAUGUUAAAUGAAUAGAAAAUGGAGUUUUUCAUUGUAUCAACAUGUACCUUCUUACUUGUUGAUUGCACUUUUGAAUUUGAAGUUUUCACCAGAGACAUACCAGUUAGAUUUGCGACAUAAUGAAAUGCCCCUUAAAGGUGUUCAAGUCUUGUACGAGACUGGUAACUCUGAAUGUAAGCAUGUUAUGUAGAAUUCAUAUCAAAUUAUUGACAAUUGUAGUUGACAUUGUGGAUAUUAACUAAAAAGCGAAGUAUUUCAUCAAAACACUUUAAUUUCUCAAUUUUUAUUUGACUGCAAAAACCAGAAUGAUUGAUUUUACACCUCUCUUCUGAUUGUCUAGUUGACAGUUUCUAUUGUAUAAGAAUUUAUUUGAUGUUUUUAUGUGAAAUCCUCAAGACAUUGUGUGAAAUCAACUCACAAGCUACUUGUUUUUGUGAUUCUGCACAUUAUGGCAGAGAUUUAAUGAGAUUCAGAGACUGCUUAGUAAAACUAAUGGGAAAGUUGUUGGCGAUAUGAUGACUCCUGAUCCACUUGUUGUUCGUGAAACCGCUAAUCUUGAAGAUGCCGUGAGGUUGUUGAUUGAAACAAAAUAUCACCGAUUGCCCGUUAUAGAUGAUGAUGGCAGGCUGGUUGGAAUUAUUACAAGGGGAAAUGUUGUUACAGCUGCCCUUCAGAUUAGACGUGCCAGUAAGAGGAUGCCACAUUUGAAGAUCAUGACCGAUUAAGGAUCUGGGAAGCUCACUGAAGAAAGACGGCAUUUGCUAGGACCAAAGUUGAAGGAAAAUCUUGUACCAUAAAGGGGCUAUGAAGGAAAUUUUUUCAACAUUUAUAGAAGAAUUGUAAUUUCUUAUGGAGGUUAA